GCCCGCCUAGCUCAAUCGGAUAGAGCGUCAGACUUUUAUGUCCGUCUAGAUCCGAAAAUCUGAAGGCUGCGAGUUCGACCCUCGCGGUGGGCU
Molecule: transfer RNA, 93 nt
Filed under: Marasmius sp. AFHP31
Lineage: Eukaryota; Fungi; Basidiomycota; Agaricomycetes; Agaricales; Marasmiaceae
Description: tRNA-Lys
Rfam family: tRNA
About the family: Transfer RNA (tRNA) molecules are approximately 80 nucleotides in length. Their secondary structure includes four short double-helical elements and three loops (D, anti-codon, and T loops). Further hydrogen bonds mediate the characteristic L-shaped molecular structure. tRNAs have two regions of fundamental functional importance: the anti-codon, which is responsible for specific mRNA codon recognition, and the 3' end, to which the tRNAs corresponding amino acid is attached (by aminoacyl-tRNA synthetases). tRNAs cope with the degeneracy of the genetic code in two manners: having more than one tRNA (with a specific anti-codon) for a particular amino acid; and 'wobble' base-pairing, i.e. permitting non-standard base-pairing at the 3rd anti-codon position.
Source: RNAcentral